Molecule: ribosomal RNA, 450 nt
Filed under: uncultured bacterium
Lineage: Bacteria
Description: bacterial SSU rRNA
Rfam family: Bacterial small subunit ribosomal RNA
Source: RNAcentral
AACGAACGCUGGCGGUAUGCUUAAUCCAUGCAAGUCGAACGGAAAUAUUUCGAAGCUUGCUUUGAAAUAUUUAGUGGCAAACGGGUGAGUAACACGUGGGAAUCUACCUAUCAGUACGGAAUAACUUUCGGAAACGAAUGCUAAUACCGUAUAUUCUCUAAGGAGGAAAGAUUUAUCGCUGAUAGAUGAGCCCGCGCAAGAUUAGGUAGUUGGUAGGGUAAAGGCCUACCAAGCCUACGAUCUUUAGCUGGUCUGAGAGGAUGAUCAGCCACACUGGGACUGAGACACGGCCCAGACUCCUACGGGGGGCAGCAGGAAGGAAUAUUGGACAAUGGGCGAAAGCCUGAUCCAGCAAUACCGCGUGAAUGAUGAAGGCCUUAGGGUUGUAAAGUUCUUUUAGUAGGGAAGAUAAUGACGGUACCUACAGAAAAAGCCCCGGCUAACUCCGUG